This 378-nucleotide ribosomal RNA is filed under the name Trigonodactylus sharqiyahensis. RNAcentral's name for it is "partial 12S ribosomal RNA". It matches the Rfam family "Bacterial small subunit ribosomal RNA", at positions 826 to 1381 of the family's 1533-position model. Lineage: Eukaryota; Metazoa; Chordata; Lepidosauria; Squamata; Gekkonidae. The record is from RNAcentral.
UCAGCCUUAAACUGACAGUGCCACAACAAACUGUCCGCCAGAGAACUACUAGCGAAAAGCUUGAAACUCAAAGGACUUGACGGUGUUCCACAUCAACCUAGAGGAGCCUGUCCUAUAAUCGAUGACCCACGCUGCACCCAACCUGCUCUUGUAAACUCAGCCUAUAUACCGCCGCCUCCAGUUUGCCUAAUGAUAGAACUACAGCAGACAAAAUCGCCUCCACAAGAACGUCAGGUCAAGGUGUAGCUAACGAGCAGGAAGAGAUGGGCUACAUUUUCUCCCACAGAAAAUACCACUAGCGCUAUGAAAUCUUCGCCAAAAGGAGGAUUUAGCAGUAAGCCCAGACAGAGCUCCUGGACUGAAGCACGCUCUGGAACG